CCAAAUAUGGUAACUCCUUUAAAGACGAUAUAUUGAUGUCCAAUAUUCGCGAGAUGUACCUUAUCAUGGAUAGUAGCUUCAUUCCAGUUAAAAAUUUUUGACAUCCAGGCAACUGGGAUUAUGAUAACAUUAAAUUAGCGACUAUUAACGUGCCAGCAGUCGCGGUCACACGUUAGCUAAAAGGGAAUAAAUGCAGGAACCUUGGAGUUAUUGAAUCUGCUGUGCGUGGUGAAAUACGAACAGCAUAAUAUCUACAAAUAAUUUAUCGAAAGUUGUUAACAAACGGGGAUUAGACACCCUCCUAUGCAACCUACAUAGAAUUUCCUGGGGACUACAAGGACACUUCAAACUCAAUCAACAUGGCGGUUGUUUAAACAUUUAGGGGAACUUACUAGGUAAAUGAUACUCAUCAAGAAAGUCUACAAUCACUACAUUUUGCAUACCGUCGUCGUCAGAUAUCUUACAAUAAGACGUCAAAAGCUAUAAAGAAAAAGACAGAUCAAGGCGUAGAUAACGUGGUUGACGCAGCGAGUUACUAUGACAAUUCAACUCACUAUUUUAGUACAAGUGCUUAAAUCAGUGUAGGACUUAAAAGUAAUAUAUAUUUAGUAUACUAUAUGAAUACUUCUUGAACUGUGC
Molecule: ribosomal RNA, 639 nt
Filed under: Cepaea hortensis
Lineage: Eukaryota; Metazoa; Mollusca; Gastropoda; Stylommatophora; Helicidae
Description: partial 12S small subunit ribosomal RNA
Source: RNAcentral